Long non-coding RNA from Bombus huntii, 436 nucleotides. RefSeq lists it as uncharacterized. The transcript is spliced from 2 exons. The record is from RefSeq and is a predicted model, not a curated record. Lineage: Eukaryota; Metazoa; Arthropoda; Insecta; Hymenoptera; Apidae.
AUCCAUUGGUUCAAAAGUUAUGACUAUGUAAAAUUGAGCACUUUUAGGAUCUUUUAUACUUUAUUUUGACGGUAUAUUGGCUUCUACCCAUACUAUGUCCAAUGAACAAACCGCACACAUGAUGUCUAGUUGGCCCGCACAAAUGAGCAAGUUCCCGGAUCUGUAUAUAUGACCGUGGACUUUUCGGGUCGUUUCAACUAGCAAUGUCAUCAAAUCAAUGUUAUGACGGAGUUGUCACAAAAUUUCACAUAGGCGAUGGACAAAUUCAUCGUCAUAGAAGUAACUCCUCCUCCACAUCCAGUUCUUAGUUGGCCGGCAAUUUGAUUCUAUUUUUUGUGUACAUGUACCAUCAGUAGAUGUAGUUAAAUUCGCAAAAAAUUAGUUUGUAUUAAUGUAACGUAACAGAAAAUAAAUAUUACCCCAAAUUAAACUCAAA